RNAcentral lists this non-coding RNA (48 nucleotides) under Trichobilharzia regenti. Lineage: Eukaryota; Metazoa; Platyhelminthes; Trematoda; Strigeidida; Schistosomatidae. The record is from RNAcentral.
GUACUGAUGAAGAGUCCCAAACUAGGACGAAACAGUUGUCUGCAGUAA